This 752-nucleotide ribosomal RNA is filed under the name uncultured Actinomyces sp. RNAcentral describes it as "bacterial SSU rRNA". It matches the Rfam family "Bacterial small subunit ribosomal RNA", at positions 28 to 776 of the family's 1533-position model. Lineage: Bacteria; Bacillati; Actinomycetota; Actinomycetes; Actinomycetales; Actinomycetaceae. The record is from RNAcentral.
GACGAACGCUGGCGGCGUGCUUAACACAUGCAAGUCGAACGCUGAAGCUCAGCUUUUGUUGGGUGGAUGAGUGGCGAACGGGUGAGUAACACGUGAGUAACCUGCCCUCUUCUUUGGGAUAACGCCCGGAAACGGGUGCUAAUACUGGAUAUUCACUGAUCUUCGCAUGGGGGUUGGUGGAAAGGUUUGUUCUGGUGGGGGAUGGGCUCGCGGCCUAUCAGCUUGUUGGUGGGGUGAUGGCCUACCAAGGCUUUGACGGGUAGCCGGCCUGAGAGGGUGACCGGUCACAUUGGGACUGAGAUACGGCCCAGACUCCUACGGGAGGCAGCAGUGGGGAAUAUUGCACAAUGGGCGAAAGCCUGAUGCAGCGACGCCGCGUGAGGGAUGGAGGCCUUCGGGUUGUAAACCUCUUUCGCUCAUGGUCAAGCCGCGACUUUGGUUGUGGUGAGGGUAGUGGGUAAAGAAGCGCCGGCUAACUACGUGCCAGCAGCCGCGGUAAUACGUAGGGCGCGAGCGUUGUCCGGAAUUAUUGGGCGUAAAGGGCUUGUAGGCGGUUGGUCGCGUCUGCCGUGAAAUUCUCUGGCUUAACUGGGGGCGUGCGGUGGGUACGGGCUGACUUGAGUGCGGUAGGGGAGACUGGAACUCCUGGUGUAGCGGUGGAAUGCGCAGAUAUCAAGAAGAACACCGGUGGCGAAGGCGGGUCUCUGGGCCGUUACUGACGCUGAGGAGCGAAAGCGUGGGGAGCGAACAGG